This 468-nucleotide ribosomal RNA is filed under the name uncultured bacterium. Its description in RNAcentral is "partial 16S ribosomal RNA". It matches the Rfam family "Bacterial small subunit ribosomal RNA", at positions 28 to 507 of the family's 1533-position model. The record is from RNAcentral.
GACGAACGCUGGCGGCGUGCUUAACACAUGCCAGUCGAGCGAACGGACCCUGCUUUUGUGGGGUUCUCGAUUGGCGCGCGGGUGAGUAACACGUGAGUAACCUGCCCUUGACUUUCGGAUAACUUCAGGAAACUCGGGCUAUUACCGGAUAGGAUCUCCUGCUGCAUGUUGGGGGUUGGAGAAUUUCGGCGGUUGUGGAUGGACUGGAGGCUUAUCCGCUUGUUUGUCGGGUAGUGGCGUACCAAGGCUUUGACGGGUAGCCGGCCUGAGAGGGUGACCGGCGACAUGGGGACUGAGAUACGGCGCAGACUCGUACGGGAGGCAGCAGUGGGGAAUAUGGCAGAAUGGGCGGAAGCCUGAUGCAGCAACGCCGCGUGCGGGAUGACGGCUUUCGGGUGGUAAACCGCUUUCGCCGGUGACGAAGCGUGAGUGACGGUAAUGGGUAAAGAAGCAACGGCUAACUACGUG